UACAGAGGGUGCGAGCGUUGUUCGGAAUUACUGGGCGUAAAGCGCGUGUAGGCGGCGGGAUAAGUCGAAUGUGAAAGCCCUCAGCUUAACUGAGGAAGUGCAUUCGAUACUGUUUCGCUUGAAUGCCGGAGGGGAUGGCGGAAUUCCCGGUGUAGAGGUGAAAUUCGUAGAUAUCGGGAGGAACACCUGUGGCGAAGGCGGCCAUCUGGACGGCGAUUGACGCUGAGACGCGAAAGCGUGGGUAGCAAACAGG
RNAcentral lists this ribosomal RNA (253 nucleotides) under uncultured bacterium. RNAcentral's name for it is "partial 16S ribosomal RNA". It matches the Rfam family "Bacterial small subunit ribosomal RNA", at positions 524 to 776 of the family's 1533-position model. The record is from RNAcentral.